Long non-coding RNA from Planococcus citri (citrus mealybug), 378 nucleotides. RefSeq lists it as uncharacterized. The transcript is spliced from 3 exons. NCBI's taxonomy places the organism in Eukaryota, Metazoa, Arthropoda, Insecta, Hemiptera, Pseudococcidae. The record is from RefSeq and is a predicted model, not a curated record.
AUAAAAUAAGUGAAAAAGCUGUUCGGAAGUGAUUUUUCUUUACGUAUUUCAUUUAUUUGCUAAGAUUUACGAGUAAAGUUGUAAAAUAUUGGAAGAUUUGAAUCGCUCAACUUACAAAAGAGUCCAUCGUUUUGUAUCAGUGGUUUUUCUUUGUUUUGAAUUAUUGUGUUAGAAGUAGCGAUAGUGUUCGAAUUAGUUUUCGCGAAGAUCAUCUGUCAUCGUGAGCUUGUCAGAUCAACUCGACUUCAAGCUUGAGGAUUGAAUCUGGAACUCUGACUUCUCGAAGCUGUUGCCAACCUCCAACUCCAAUACAAGAUUACGGGAUCAGGUUCUAAUCCAGGAUUAUCUAGUCCUUUGAGAAUGGAUGUUGAACUCCAG